RNAcentral lists this transfer RNA (68 nucleotides) under Cebus albifrons (white-fronted capuchin). Its description in RNAcentral is "tRNA-Ala". It matches the Rfam family "tRNA". From Rfam's summary of the family: Transfer RNA (tRNA) molecules are approximately 80 nucleotides in length. Their secondary structure includes four short double-helical elements and three loops (D, anti-codon, and T loops). The record is from RNAcentral. Lineage: Eukaryota; Metazoa; Chordata; Mammalia; Primates; Cebidae. RNAcentral also lists the same sequence under 2 other names.
GAGGGCUUAGCUUAAUUAAAGUAAUUGAUUUGCGUUCAAUUGAUGCAAGGUAUAGUUUGCAGUCCUUA